CACAUACGUGCUGACGAGUGCAAGAGAGUCUGAGACGAGUGGGACAAGGAAACGAGGGGGGGAGAUGUCACACGCCUCAGCGGGGUUGCUGUGCCUUUGUUGGUAUUUAUUAUUAUGUGGAGGAGGUGCAGUGCAGAAGUAGAUCGGAGGGAAUUUCUACCAUUCAGCGCAUGAAUACGUCGACCGACAGUGGAGUGGAGGGGAGUCCUCCUCUCGCCGGCCCCGGCAGCAUCUUCUUCUCCUUCUGUCAAUUUCUCUUCCGAUUAGAGAUCCAUUGAUUGAUUCUUAACAAUCUUUCUUCUCUCUCUCUCUCACUGAUUGCUGAAUUUGUUUGCGAUUGAAUCGAUGUGUUGUGUUCUGAGUUAAAAAAGAAAGCCAAUUAGCAGAGCCAACGCGUCGACGAACAAGAAUGGCGCGCGUUGCCUCGAAGGUUGGGCGACAAAAAAAAUUUGUCCAUGGCGAUUCUCCGAGCCUGUCAAAUCUCUCUCGGUUUUGAUCACGGCCUCGAACAAGUCGCUACAUUUCAUCAUCAAUUCAAUCCUAUUCGAUUCAAUUCAUCCUCUCCUUGAGCUACGUUUGCUUGAUCUCGAGUCUCUCUCCCGAUUUCAGGAGCUCUUUCAAUACCAAAAGUUCUGCAGAAAAAGAAAAGAAAAGAAAAGAAAAGGUGUUUCUUCGGAAAAAUUAAGAAUCAAAUAUGUAAAAGCCCGAUCAAGGGAGGGAAUAGCACAGUGGUGCACCUCUCGCCUGAUAACCAAGAGAUCUCAGGUUCGAUACCAGUGGAACUACCUAUGCCCCUUUAUUAAAUAUUUAUGAUUUAUAUUUCAAUGUACUAAACCUAUGAGUCUCUCUUGUAAUCGGGAAAAAAAAAUGUAAAAGCCCAAUGAGUGUUGAACUGAUCCAAAAAUGCCAAUUUGAUAGUUGUUUUCGGAUUCA
This is a non-coding RNA of Punica granatum (pomegranate), 933 nucleotides long. The record is from RefSeq and is a predicted model, not a curated record. NCBI's taxonomy places the organism in Eukaryota, Viridiplantae, Streptophyta, Magnoliopsida, Myrtales, Lythraceae.